This 253-nucleotide ribosomal RNA is filed under the name uncultured bacterium. Its description in RNAcentral is "partial 16S ribosomal RNA". It matches the Rfam family "Bacterial small subunit ribosomal RNA", at positions 524 to 776 of the family's 1533-position model. The record is from RNAcentral.
UACAGGGGGGGCAAGCGUUGUUCGGAAUUACUGGGCGUAAAGGGCUCGUAGGUGGCCAACUAAGUCAGACGUGAAAUCCCUCAGCUUAACUGGGGAACUGCGUCUGAUACUGGACGGCUUGAGUUUGGGAGAGGGAUGCGGAAUUCCAGGUGUAGCGGUGAAAUGCGUAGAUAUCUGGAGGAACACCGGUGGCGAAGGCGGCAUCCUGGACCAACACUGACACUGAGGAGCGAAAGCGUGGGGAGCGAACAGG